This 1842-nucleotide long non-coding RNA is filed under the name Felis catus (domestic cat). RNAcentral describes it as "lncRNA (ENSFCAG00000051531.1)". The record is from RNAcentral. Lineage: Eukaryota; Metazoa; Chordata; Mammalia; Carnivora; Felidae.
ACCUCCUUGGCCGCUAAAAACAGCCUCGUUCUGAGCAGAUAAUCAAAUCAGCGAGAACAGGGACUACUACCUGGGCUGCAACCAAAACCGCAGCGUCUCCUCGGUCCCGUCUGUGCGUGGGGACUGCUACAGUUUAUGCUGCGGAAAUGCACGAAGUUGGUCUCUGCUCCCCGCCUCCAUUGUUUUUUAGCUCAGUUCCUCAUUAUCUCCUGGAUCGUGCUCACCACAAUGUAUUGAAUGCAUUAUUUUCUUAUUGUUCCUUUGUGAUUUCACUUGUUCUCUCUCUCCCCCACUACAAGCUGCAUGAUGGCAAAGGCUGCCUGCCUCCUUCCCCGCUCUAUGUCCAUCACCUGGCAACAGCCCCUCGACAUAGUAGGUGCUCAAUGAGUACUUAUUGGAUGAGUACAUGGGCAAAUGAAUAUAGAGAAAUUGACUUAUCUGUGCAAGGUCAUGGGAACAAGGCGGCAAAGAUAGUAUCGAAUCCUAGAUCUGUCUGAAUCCAAAUCACAUGGUCCUCCUAACCCCCAUGGCAAAGAGAUAAGGCGAUUCAGUGAGAUGGGGCAGUGCAUUGUCCUUCGGGAGCUGGGAGUCCAGCAGAGGAGAGAGAAAAAGUCAAUGGGUGUCAGGGUGGGAUGCCAAAUUCAAACUGGGCGAGGACUCAGUGGAGAGUUUCCCAGAUAUUAAAAGAACGUCUUAAAAGGACCAGAAUCAAUCUUCCUCCCCUUUUAGCAAAGAUGGGCAAUACAACAUUUAUCCUCUCCUCGUCCUCGGGGACUUUGAGUCUCUUACGGUUCCCAAAAAUAAUGGCCCGUGGCUCCAUAAAUGCACGUCCAGGUCCUAGAAGUAGCCUGAAGUCAAGUACCAGGCUGGUUCCAUCUGGCAAAUCCUGGCCCUGGCAGCUGUGUCUGCCUCCACAGCCUGCCAACUGCUAGCCAGAGCCUUUCGGGAGCCAGUGUGGGAGCAAACUCCCAUGACUCAUGGCUGGGGAAGCUGUCGGGGUGAGGGGAGGCAGGGGCACAUGAGGGCAAGGGCAGGGAGCGAGGCAAAGGCAGAAGGAAUGGGCCAUGGAAGGAAGGAGGGCACCAGAGGUGGUGACGGAAUAGGGAAGAAGGAAAAGAGAGGGAAGGAGAGAGGAAGGAAGGAAGGAAGAAGAGAAGGGGGAAGGGGGAAGGGGGGAAGGAAGGAAAUAUGGGUAAUAGCAACAAUAAGAGAUACUUUCUGAGUAUUGAGAAUUGCCUUGAAUUGUGUGAAGUCUCUAAAAGGCAUAAUCCCCUGGAAUCCUGAAAACAAUCCUAGGGGGUAGAUUCUUUUUUCAUGUCCUUUUUAUGGGAAAUGAGCUACAGAGAUCUUAAGCAAUCUAAGGACACAUCGGUAGUAGUGAGUGGUGGAUUCAGAUGUGAAACUCAGGGGAGGGAAAGAGCUGGUGUAGUGGUUGGGAUGGAGGAGGGUGGGACCAUGGGAAGAAGGACAGAGAUGGAGUCUGUAGGCAUGAAAUUUCCAGGAUGUGUGAGGCAGACGGGGAGUCCUGGAAGCCAGACUCUGGCUCAGAGUGGCCGUCUUUAGCAGGCAGGGAUUGGAGGGUGGCCUACUCACCUCGGAUCUCAGGUUCUUACCGGCAGCUCGAGGAGGCUCUUUGCUUGAACGGAUUGUAUCGGAGAUUCCUUGGUGGACGCGUGAGCCCGAGAGAAUGGCAGUGCCAUUGUCAGAUACCGAUCCUUCUUUCUUAACACAAAACAAACAGGAGCCGCAAAAUUAAUUCAAUUUCGUUAUGUUUAGGAACAAGGAAGACAAAGAAAGAAAGGAAGUUAUUAAAAUAAAUACAAAUGGCUUCUAUAUGCCCCA